RNAcentral lists this ribosomal RNA (273 nucleotides) under uncultured bacterium. Its description in RNAcentral is "partial 16S ribosomal RNA". It matches the Rfam family "Bacterial small subunit ribosomal RNA", at positions 524 to 796 of the family's 1533-position model. The record is from RNAcentral.
GACGUAGGGGGCGAGCGUUGUCCGGAAUCAUUGGGCGUAAAGCGCGCGCAGGCGGCUCGGUAAGUCGGUUGUGAAAACACGAGGCUCAACCUCGUGCCUGCAUCCGAUACUGCCGAGCUCGAGGCAGGUAGGGGAGAUCGGAAUUCCUGGUGUAGCGGUGAAAUGCGCAGAUAUCAGGAGGAACACCGGUGGCGAAGGCGGAUCUCUGGGCCUGUCCUGACGCUCAGGCGCGAAAGCUAGGGGAGCAAACAGGAUUAGAAACCCCAGUAGUCC